RNAcentral lists this transfer RNA (72 nucleotides) under Cronartium ribicola 11-2. RNAcentral describes it as "tRNA-Sup (CTA) (tRNA-Sup-CTA-161-1)". It matches the Rfam family "tRNA". Rfam says of the family: Transfer RNA (tRNA) molecules are approximately 80 nucleotides in length. Their secondary structure includes four short double-helical elements and three loops (D, anti-codon, and T loops). Lineage: Eukaryota; Fungi; Basidiomycota; Pucciniomycetes; Pucciniales; Coleosporiaceae. The record is from RNAcentral.
GUGUCUGUAGACUAGUGGUAAUAGGCAGCACUCUAGAUGCUGAGGUUGUGGGUUUGGAUCCCACCAGACACA